UUCCAACUCGACUAUUCUUUUCUUUCUAUGUUUUCCAUUAGCUAUGAGAUGGAAAUAUUGUGUGUUGUCAUCUCCUUGUAUGACAUGGCGGACUUUCGCUCGAAGUGCCCACUUCAACUCCUCUUCUCUGAGUAGUUGUUUGAGCUUUAAUUCAGCCUCCGCUUUAAAUGACCUCUCAUUGUCAUCUAAAAACGAUUGUUCGGCCUUAAUGUCCAGCGAAUUUAUAAUUUGAGAAGUCUUUGUUUCUCUUUCUUAUAAAUCCCACUCUCAUGCUUGGCCCAACCCCGUAAGAAUUGUCUCAGGUGCCUUAUCUUAUUUUGCCACCUUUCGACAUUGGUAUCACCUUCCGUAACCAUAUCCCAUUCUCUGGCGACAAUGUCUACAAACCCCUC
This 392-nucleotide long non-coding RNA is filed under the name Hordeum vulgare. RNAcentral's name for it is "long non-coding RNA (HVUL_LNC001035)". Lineage: Eukaryota; Viridiplantae; Streptophyta; Magnoliopsida; Poales; Poaceae. The record is from RNAcentral.